Myodes glareolus (Bank vole) is the source of this 765-nucleotide non-coding RNA. NCBI's taxonomy places the organism in Eukaryota, Metazoa, Chordata, Mammalia, Rodentia, Cricetidae. The record is from RefSeq and is a predicted model, not a curated record.
GAGAUGGCUCAACUGGUAAAGUGCUUGCCACUCAAGCAUGGGGACCUAAGUUCGAUCCACGGCAUCCACACGAACACCCAGCUGUGGGGCUGGGGAGAUGGCUCAGUAUCAGCAUUUUCUGUGCAAGCAGGAAGACCCGAGUUCAGAUCCCUGGCACCUAUGUAAAGAGCUGCUGUGAUGUGCUGGCAUUUCAUUCUUCUCAGAGCAUUCUUCUCCACGAUGUAUCUAUCCGCAUGAAUGACUACUUCACCACUGUAUUUUGAAGAUAAAUUGUCCUCUGCAGGCUGACGUGCUGAGUGAGAACUUGGAAGGAAGCCUCUGAGACCAGGAGUCCUUUGGAUCAGCUAUGCAGCCCUUGAUCUCCAACCCUGGGAUUACAGGCAUUCAUCACCACAACAUGACUGAACACAAGCCCCAACCAUGAGCCAAGAUGCCUUUGUAUCCCUGGGAGCUGUUUCCUUUGUAAUUCGCUUGGGAAGUCACAGGUUUCCGUGUGAUCUCUCUGCCCUUCCCACCUCUGGUAUCCCCCUUUCAUUUUCUUGGCUUGUCUACCCAAACCCCAGCCCCUUUUUCUCCAAUCCCCAGGACCUCUUCCUAGAUUCCUGGCCUUUACCCACUUGCCAGGCUAAAGACACAGAUUUAGCAGUGAGAGUCAAGAUCCCCACAUGACAUGGAUAUAAUAUGUUUGUCUUUCUGAGCCCAGAUGACCUCACUCAACCUGAUAGUUUUCAAUUCCAUCCAUUUCCCCACCUAUUUCAUCUUUCU